Etheostoma spectabile (orangethroat darter) is the source of this 583-nucleotide long non-coding RNA. RefSeq lists it as uncharacterized. The transcript is spliced from 2 exons. The record is from RefSeq and is a predicted model, not a curated record. Lineage: Eukaryota; Metazoa; Chordata; Actinopteri; Perciformes; Percidae.
GCUCUCGGGCUCUGGACAGUCAUCGUUUAACAUAUGGACGGCAAAUGUCCUUUCUGCCAGCUGGAACGUCUCCAUAUCAUGAAUGAUGAAAGGCUGCAGAGAAAGAAAGAGGAUGCUGGUAGGUUUCUGAUACUGUUCUGUCUGCAGUGGGAGGCCAUCGUAACAAACCCAAUGACCCCUUAGCAGUCAGUGCAGAUGACGGGCCAGAUGUGGAGCUAUAUGGGCCUGUGUUUCCUCAAUGUCAAGCAAGCUCCGGCAGGACGUUGUUCUAUAAAACCCAGUCCGUGUAAAGCAUGUUGAUUUGGAGCCAAAACACAUUAGGACAUUAACUGCUGUUGUUGAGAACACAUAUCAUGGUGCUGACUGAGGACGUGGUGAGCAGAGUUUUAUGUAACUGCAUUCAUGAUGCUUACUUGCAAGCUCUGUCAUUGCUAUUACAGUACUGUAUUGGAUGCUAUGAUUUCAGUAAUUGAGCUUUAAAGCUGGGCUGUUCUGAAAGAUGAUGCAACACACGUAUAACUCUCAUACACAUUUAUUAAAAGUUUAAUUCAUGCUAUAAAGCAAUAGAACGCACUCUUGCUCA